GUGGGGAGUUGAGGGGAGAUGGCAAAGGGAGAAAUGCCAGAUAUAGGUGACGGAGGGAUGGAGGUAGCCAACCACCACGGCAUCUGUAUACCUAUGUAACAAUCCUGCAAGAUCUGCACAUGUACCCCAAAACUCAAAGUAUAAU
This is a long non-coding RNA of Sapajus apella (tufted capuchin), 145 nucleotides long. RefSeq lists it as uncharacterized. The transcript is spliced from 2 exons. The record is from RefSeq and is a predicted model, not a curated record. Lineage: Eukaryota; Metazoa; Chordata; Mammalia; Primates; Cebidae.